ACCGUGUUUUCGCUCCUCUUUGUACCGUUUCAUCGUCGAUGCACUUUAUUGUGUGUCACGUUUGAACGGCCUUUUUACUUUGAGAAAAUUAGCGUGCUUAACGCAGGCGUUACAGCUUGUAUAAUGUUGCAUGGAAUAAUGAAAUAGGACCUCGGUUCUGUUUUGUUGGCUUCCGGAAGCUGAGGUAAUGAUUAAUAGGGACAGACGGGGGCAUUCGUAUUGUGGUGUUAGAGGUGAAAUUCUUGGAUCACCGCCAGACGAACAACUGCGAAAGCAUUUGCCAAGAAUGUUUUCAUUAAUCAAGAACGAAAGUUAGAGGUUCGAAGACGAUUAGAUACCGUCCUAGUUCUAACUAUAAACUAUGCCAACUGGGGAUCCGUCGAUUGCCAUUUGUAGGCUCGGCGGGCACCCUACGGGAAACCAAAGUGAACAGGUUCCGGGGGGAGUAUGGUUGCAAAAUCGAAACUUAAAGGAAUUGACGG
Molecule: ribosomal RNA, 482 nt
Filed under: Macracanthorhynchus hirudinaceus (giant thorny-headed worm)
Lineage: Eukaryota; Metazoa; Acanthocephala; Archiacanthocephala; Oligacanthorhynchida; Oligacanthorhynchidae
Description: SSU rRNA
Rfam family: Eukaryotic small subunit ribosomal RNA
Source: RNAcentral